This 493-nucleotide ribosomal RNA is filed under the name Treponema denticola. Its description in RNAcentral is "bacterial SSU rRNA". It matches the Rfam family "Bacterial small subunit ribosomal RNA", at positions 29 to 508 of the family's 1533-position model. Lineage: Bacteria; Pseudomonadati; Spirochaetota; Spirochaetia; Treponematales; Treponemataceae. The record is from RNAcentral.
AACGAACGCUGGCGGCGCGUCUUAAGCAUGCAAGUCGAACGGUAAGGGAGAGCUUGCUCUCCCCUAGAGUGGCGGACUGGUGAGUAACGCGUGGGUGACCUGCCCUGAAGAUGGGGAUAGCUAGUAGAAAUAUUAGAUAAUACCGAAUGUGCUCAUUUACAUAAAGGUAAAUGAGGAAAGGAGCUACGGCUCCGCUUUAGGAUGGGCCCGCGUCCCAUUAGCUGGUUGGUGAGGUAAAGGCUCACCAAGGCAACGAUGGGUAUCCGGCCUGAGAGGGUGAACGGACACAUUGGGACUGAGAUACGGCCCAAACUCCUACGGGAGGCAGCAGCUAAGAAUCUUCCGCAAUGGACGAAAGUCUGACGGAGCGACGCCGUGUGAAUGAAGAAGGCCGAAAGGUUGUAAAAUUCUUUUGCAGAUGAAGAAUAAACAUAGGAGGGAAUGCCUGUGAGAUGACGGUAAUCAUGCGAAUAAGCCCCGGCUAAUUACGUGC